GAUGAACGCUGGCGGCGUGCCUAAUACAUGCAAGUUGAGCGAACAGACGAGGAGCUUGCUCCUUCGACGUUAGCGGCGGACGGGUGAGUAACACGUAGGUAACCUACCUAUAAGACUGGGAUAACUUCGGGAAACCGGUGCUAAUACCGGAUAAUAUUUCGAAACGCAUGGUUCAAUAGUGAAAGAUGGCUUUGCAUUAACUUAUGAAUGGACCUCGUUCGUUUUAGCUGUUUGGUAAGGUAACGGCUUACAAAGGCAACGUAACGUACCCGACCUGAGAGGGGGAUCGCCCACAUGGGAACGGAGACACGGCCCAGCCUCCUCCGGGAGGCGGCGGAAGGGAAUCUUCCGCAAUGGGCGAAAGCCUGACGGGGAAACGCCGCGUGAGUGAGGAAGGUCCUCGGAUCGUAAAACUCUGUUAUUAGGGAAGACCAAACGUGUAAGUAACUGUGCACGUCUUGACGGUACCUAAUCAGAAAGCCACGGCUAACUACGUG
Molecule: ribosomal RNA, 497 nt
Filed under: uncultured bacterium
Lineage: Bacteria
Description: partial 16S ribosomal RNA
Rfam family: Bacterial small subunit ribosomal RNA
Source: RNAcentral